ACGAAGGGGGCUAGCGUUGCUCGGAAUCACUGGGCGUAAAGGGUGCGUAGGCGGGUCUUUAAGUCAGAGGUGAAAGCCUGGAGCUCAACUCCAGAACUGCCUUUGAUACUGAGGAUCUCGAGUUCGGGAGAGGUGAGUGGAAUUCCGAGUGUAGAGGUGAAAUUCGUAGAUAUUCGGAAGAACACCAGUGGCGAAGGCGGCUCACUGGACUGGUAUUGACGCUGAGGUGCGAAAGCGUGGGGAGCAAACAGUA
RNAcentral lists this ribosomal RNA (253 nucleotides) under uncultured prokaryote. RNAcentral's name for it is "partial 16S ribosomal RNA". It matches the Rfam family "Bacterial small subunit ribosomal RNA", at positions 525 to 777 of the family's 1533-position model. The record is from RNAcentral.